Molecule: long non-coding RNA, 425 nt
Organism: Drosophila arizonae
Lineage: Eukaryota; Metazoa; Arthropoda; Insecta; Diptera; Drosophilidae
Gene: Oatp74D
Source: RefSeq, a predicted model, not a curated record
GCAGUCAGAGAGAGAGAAAGAGGAAGUGAGCAAGAGAGAACGAGAUAGGAGAAAGAGAGAAAGAGAGAGAGAGAGAGAAAUUACACGCAUAUAUUGCGUAGCAAAAGUUCUGAAUGAAAAAAUCGAGUCAUACGGGCGGACCGAGCCACAGGCGAUAAAUCUAACAAUCCAACAAAUGCCAACUUCAACUAAAGUAAACAAUAAAUAACACUGCCAUAUUGCAACACUGAAGUAACUGACAACAAACAACGCGAACAACAACCGAAACUACCUCGUUGCUGGCCAGGCACAACAAUAAAGCGCACACACUCAACUCACACCACACAGGAUAGCAGAAGAAUUGCCUUUGAUGCAUUUCUAAUGUAGUUGCAGCCGCCACUUGCUUAGGUAAAAUGGAACAACAAAUAUCCCAGAGUCACUAAAAA